This 331-nucleotide long non-coding RNA is filed under the name Dromaius novaehollandiae (emu). RNAcentral describes it as "lncRNA (ENSDNVG00000018740.1)". Lineage: Eukaryota; Metazoa; Chordata; Aves; Casuariiformes; Dromaiidae. The record is from RNAcentral.
CACCCGAGAGUUCAGAAGGAAAUAAGACAUAAGUUUGCAGAACUACUGACCAGAUGGUGACAAGUGCUCUAAAUCAGAACAUGUGAGCUACAGAAUGGUUUAACAGAAAGCGUUUCAUCACUGAUGACUUGAACACUUUGCUAAGGGGACAGAGAAUCCUUCAUUACCUGAGGAAAACUUGGAAAGAAUUUAAACAAUCAGUGCAUGUGAAAGGUAUAACCUUCAGAAGAUGAGAUGUGAAGUUCGGCACUAAGCAGGUAGUACAAAUCCCUUCAGGGAGAAGAAUAAUGAAGAUACCAGCAUCUCCUUUUCCAGUCAUGACAACCUCUGG